Molecule: long non-coding RNA, 5742 nt
Filed under: Taeniopygia guttata (zebra finch)
Lineage: Eukaryota; Metazoa; Chordata; Aves; Passeriformes; Estrildidae
Description: lncRNA (ENSTGUG00000027336.1)
Source: RNAcentral
UUUUUUUUUUUUUUUUUUUUAUUUUUUAAUCUAAGGUUGCUACUUUGGAGUCAGCAAAUCUUUGAGAUGUAGAUCGCAGAGGUUAAGAGAAUAUACAAAGAAAAGAGCAUACAUAUUUGUCCUGUUCUUGUGCUUUUCCACUUAAUAGCCAUUACUGACCACCACCUGAGAUGGGAGAGACACUCGGAUAAAUAGAUAUUGGGCUUGACCCAGCAGGCUGUGGUUGUAAACAGCCCUCCUGAGAUCCCCUCUCUCUGAAUUCACUGUCUGAAUAAAUAACUUUGAACCAUCACAGUCUGUUCUGAGAGCCUCAGCCCUGUAUCUAAAGUGAAGUGGAAGGAAUCUCUGUCUCUGAGUCUAGUCUUGUUGAGCAAAAACUAAAACAAUAAUUGUGAAUGACAAAUGCUCUCCAAACCCCAGAAGCAACGUUGGGCAAGGCAGUAUAUUUGCUUUGCCUCCUUUUGGUGACGAGAAACAGUUUACUGAAGAAAACUGAAUAUUUAUAAACCCUUUCGUCAUCAGUGGGGAAGCUGCAAUGAUAUAUUUGAUCCUUUCAUACUUCACUUUUGGAACAGCUUAAUAGUAGGGUUUAGAACAAUAUACAUCCCUGUUUUGAGAGUAUUCACUUGUUUUAGGACUGUGGAAAAAACCACAAGCUCUGUAGUAAGGAGAGGACAGGGACGUCAAUUUUAUCCACUUCAGUGCAGAAAUGGACAAAAAAUCCUAGCCUUGAUUCAAAGCUUCAAAAUUGUAAAGUGAAGGCUUGUUGUGACCUGUUUUGUUAAAUGAAGUACAGCAGUUGUUCAGAGUUAAUGUCCUCAUAUAUUAUCAUGCUUAAAAACAGGCAAUGUCAUAAACUUUUUUAAACACCUAACAUACUACAGAAGCUGUGCAGGCUGGUAAAAUCACUAGUUAACAUCUCUAAAUCACAUAAAGCUGGAAGUGCUAUAUUCUUUCCUGAUAUGUGUAAGGUGACCUGCCAUUCUUACUAUAAACUGGAUUUUUAAUUUAUUUUUUAUUUAAGAAGGGAAAUGCAUCCACUCUGGGGUAGUGCAUAACAGCUUUUUAACCAUGCUAGGGCACUGUUCCUUAGGUAGUGGCUCCUUAGCUGUUGUGGCCUAACCACAAUGAUGAACUGAUGACUUUGCUGGCAUCCACCAUCCCAGUACUGACAUACUUUUCAGUAACAGAGGCAGACACCUUUGUUUCCUCAUUCCUUCACAACCAUGAUGCAUUUGUUGAGCCGAAACACAGGUAAGCCCUAGGUGUUGUCCUGCAGUUUUUACAGGAGCAGCAACAGAUUGAAUGUUACCCUUUUGAGGAGUGCAGUAGGAUGUGUAAAGACAGUGAAAGUGCUGACCCCCUGUGGGUUCCAAAGGCAGGAAUAGCUGUUCAAACCACUGUAGCUUAUUUUUAAAUACAUGCUUAAAGUUAGACUUUUAAUGUUCUGUGUAGGAGCCAAAGUGUUCAGCUUGGCUUUCAGAGACAUCAAACAUUCAGGAGAUCCCACCAAAAUCAGUGGUGGUGCCUUUGUGCUCAGAUGUUCUGAAAUAAUACCAUGACAGUUUCAGAGAGAGUGAUGAUUCCUUCCUCCCAUAACCUAUAUCUAACCAAGGCAAGGUAUUCCUAGACCAGGAUCAUAUAGAGCUCAGUGUUUUGAACAGGAGCUUCUGUCCUGUUUGAUUUACUCUCACCACACUGUAGUUUGCACCAAUUCCUCCCUUGAACCCUCCUCCCUCUGUAAAUCCCAGUACUGCUCCACUGACCAUGUCAAAGGUUCACUUUGCUCCUGUCGAAGUCUUUUCCAGCCUGGUUAAUGUCACUUAGCAUUUAGCUGCAGUGUUUUGAAUCAGAUUAAUUAGGUUUCCCAUGACUGAUGUGUUGAGAGCUUCUUGAUUCAUGUGUUCUGAAUAUUGUUUCUGGACAUGUUUUGUGGACAGUGAUUAAAAAUGUUUGUGCUAUGGUGAUGUUUGUUGCUAAUUGCUGUGAUUUGUUGAGACAUGGAACAGUUGACUGAUAUCACUGUUAGCAAGGGCAGGCAGAAAAACAGUAGAUUUUAUUCUGAGGUCAGAAAAAAAGUAGGAAAAAAAUCCAUUGCAAGUGCUAAUGAAAUUUUCCCUAUGUAGCAAAUAAUUACUUUGAAAAUCAUCUAAACAAAAGGAAGUUUUUGAAAACCAAACAAAAAUCUGUUAUGUUUUAGAAAUAAUAAAAAAAUUUACCAAUGAAAUAAAACUGUUCCCUGCAGGUAUGUUAAUGAUGAAGGGUGCCCUUAAGCACCUGCUUAAACAGGGGUGGCCAGUACUUGACAAUUCUAUUGUUUUUCAAGCUCCCUUAGUAAAAAUGAAUUGUCAGCAACUUUAAGUACAACAUCCUUUCUAAAAAAGGAUCCAGUGACUCCCAAUGACUUCUAAAACUUUGUAGCUAAAGAUGUAGAUUGUGGCAGCUAUCUCUCCUAAACUUAAACAAAUCUGCAAGAAGUUGGCUAUUCUCCCCCCUGCUAGGAAUGCCUUUCCUUAAGGAUCCUGCUUUUAGUAGCAAUUUUUCCUUGUACUGAUCAGAUUGUCAAAACUGUGUCCAAAGCUAAGGUUUAUCUCCAAAAAUAUGCUCAUCUCCAUCAGUGGAGGGAUCUCCUGCUCUGGUAAGUUUUCUCACCAUGGGUGGAUGGUGUCCUUAAUAUGUAAAAGCCAAUGGCUUCUGACUGAAAGUUUUGGAUAUAAUCUUGAUUAUAGAAAGAGAAUAUGGUGAGGAAAGUGCUGUUUAUGUGGCACUGGGAUAAAGAGUGAGGUUGUGUUCCAAAUACCAAGAAAAGCAAACCUACUAUGUUCCAGCGGCUGAUAGUCAUAGAGAUUAUGUUCAUAGUAUCAUAGAUACAGUCAAGGGGUUGGAUGUCUGAAGAGUCCAGAAUUUUGACUUGGCAGAUUGCUAUGUAUUAGUAGCUUUUUAAUUUUGGUCAUAUUGUUGUCUUCUUGAUCUAUGUAAAUUUGAUAGAGUGCAUCUUUCACACUGUCUGCUAGCUCAGGGCUGCUGCCAGUGUGGUCAGGGUGAUAGACUGCCAUGAUAUUCUGGAAUAUAUGCUAUUGAGGAACUGGUGCUUUUCUAGCCUGCCAGCAAUUCUUGGGGUUCCUGGUCUUAGCAUCUUAUCUAAGUUCCAUCUUUUUUUACAGCAAAUAUGUCAACUUUGUUCAGAGAUGUGUGCAUACACCAGCCAUUGUCUGGUUUGUCCAAACUGUGUUGUGUGAGGGUUGCUCAAUUUUCUCACAAUAUAAAAGAGGCUCUUCUCCCUGCUUUGGUAGAAAGCACAAAAAAAUUUAAUGCUUCAGGACUUUCACACUAGAUACAAAGCAAGAGGCUGAAUCUUGGAAUUAUGGAAAAUUUUGAGUUGGGAGGAAUGUUUCAAGUUCAUCUGUUCUACUAGUUAUGCAAUGAGCAGGGACAUCUUCAAUAGGAACAGUUUGCUCGGAGCCCUGUCCAACAACAUCUUGUGUGUUUAUAGGGAGGAGGGACCUGGCACCUCUUAGGGCAACCUAUUCUGGUGUUUUAAAAAACAUUUAAAACUUUUUCCUUAUGCCUCAUCUGAAUCUUCCUUCUAUCAGUUUAAAACCAUGACUCCCUCUCCUAUUACAAUAGGCCCUAUUAAGUAAGUAGUUUAUGCCAUCUUUCUUAUAGGCCUCUUUCAAAUACUGAAAGGCCACAACAAAAUCUGGAAAGCCAGAAUCCUGACCUUUUCUUGAACAUUAUUUUUGACAUACUCUAAAAGUUAUGGUAGUUUGUAAAUUUACUAUACCUGUUCUUCUUCCUCCUCCUGCUCUUCUACAUGUGCCCUAUAAUGUCAUCAGGUACAUAUGGUCAAUGCUUAGGUAAGGGCUGCUUCACCAGUUCUUUGUGUGAUUUUGUCUCUGGAAGAAAUUCCAGUGAUAGGACUUGCAAAUGUGCUGGGAAUAUAUGGCCAACCCCUUUUCCCUUGCCUUUGCUGCACACCUGCCUGGAACUUACCCUACCAGAACCCAGAUAAUCUGCAACUCAAAUAUCUUCUGUGUAUCUGAAACAAAUUGUGCUGGCUAUUUGCCAUGCAGUGAAAUCACAGGGUUUUUCAUUACACUCUCAGAAGCCUUAAUUAGUGAAUAAGGCAGCUGUAUGCUCUCAAAAAUACAUCUAUCAGUACAAACGGCUGCCUGAUGGUCCAAAAUAAAAAGUGCUAACAUUUCUUUCAUGCUUUCUCUUCCCUUAGAGAUCAUGGGCAGAUAAUAGGGGGAAAGGGACCACUGAGGAUUUUCUUACUUUGUGAUUUAUGCUUAUCCUCAAUUAAGAAGAAAAUACAAAAUGCAUCUUUAAAUUGUCUGUCUGAUUAAAAUUAUCUGUCUCUGUAUAGAAUUGCAUUCCUUUCUGUCUUGUCUAAGUGUACAACUGGUAUCUUAUAACUCCUGAUAUUGUGAGUCCUUCAUGCUUCACCCAUUAGCUCCACAGUCCUGUUUGUCACCAUAGAGAAAAAAGAAUGCUUGUCUUGACAUAUCUUAAAGAGAGCAAGGCUCUUACUUGUCUCAGAGAAUUGACCAGAAUGUACUGUUUUUCUAAAACAGGACAAGAAUUUUAUUUUAAAAUUUGGCAUGUGUCACUUCAAAUGGCUCUUGGAUUUUGUUGAAUAAAUUAGCCCUGGGGACAUGCACAGGUGAAGUUUCUUCACCUGGAACUUUUCCUGGAAUUUCCUCUUCCUUUUUACAGCAAACUUAGAAAUGAGCUUGUGGUUUUUUGUUUGUUUUUUUUUUUUUUUUUCACUAACACAACAGGUAAAUAGCUCACAUCACCCAGUCCCAAAGUAUUUCUAAUAGGAGGUUUCCACCAGCUUUGAAUUGGAGCUGCUGAAAUAGCACUGGGGUUCUAUCCUCUCGAAUUCCCAGAGGGGCAGUGAAAUUGAGUGUUUCUUUUUACAGAGGGGAGAAAAAUCCCACCUGCCACCAAGAAAGCUUUUGUGAAGAUGGGAAUUGAACCUACACCUUGCACAUCAGCAGGAAAAUGGCAUUGAUAUCAUGAAUGUUUGGCACAGCUUCAAGGAGGAAGAGGGUUAGUCUAGGGUGGUAUCAAGGGGAUGCAAAUUCACAUUGAUUCCUCUCAUCUCCCUGAGCCAGGGAACUGUCUAAUGAUGCAAACUUCCAUAAAGUGACAGAAAACCCAAGGGAAAGGUACAGAAAUGUUACAACUAUUUCAAAAUUUUAUAUAAAGAACGAGAAGGUGGAUGAGACAUCAGUCCUACUGUGAGUAUUUUGUCUUGUUUGUACUAUUUUCCACAGUGGUGGUUGAAACAUCCUGCUUGAGAGAUGGAGAGAAAGCUCUUUUUUCUGAAUCAGGGGUUCAUCAGGUGGAACAAAGGAGUCUGAUCUUUCUGCCUGUCUGCAUCUCACAUGUACUUGUACACUGUCUUUCUUUCUCCCCUUUGCACCGUCAGAAGAUCCAGGUACCUCUGCUUCAUUUCUCAUCCAGAUCACUUCUGAUCCUUCUUCAACAAAAUUCUAGUACAAGUCUUGGUCUCCUGUGACUGUCAAAAUAUAUGAUUCCAGUGUGAGUCAGAGAUCCAUCUGGACACUCUCUGGGUCUUCUGCAGAAGACUCAAGGAUCAGCAUGUGAGUUUUGCUAGCUGGAAUGUCUCUUAGCAAGUCUACAUCCCAGGCUUUCUGUUCCUUUUGGAGAUUUGUAGUUGAAAAAGUGUUUGCUGAAAGCCUGCUAGUAAAAAAAAAAAAAAAAAAAAAA